RNAcentral lists this ribosomal RNA (426 nucleotides) under uncultured bacterium. Its description in RNAcentral is "partial 16S ribosomal RNA". It matches the Rfam family "Bacterial small subunit ribosomal RNA", at positions 354 to 796 of the family's 1533-position model. The record is from RNAcentral.
GUGAGGAAUUUUCCGCAAUGGGCGAAAGUCUGACGGAGCAAUGCCGCGUGAAGGAUGAAGGCCUAUGGGUUGUAAACUUCUUUUCUUAGAGAAGAAUAUUGACGGUAUCUGAGGAAUAAGCAUCGGCUAACUCUGUGCCAGCAGCCGCGGUAAGACAGAGGAUGCAAGCGUUAUCCGGAAUGAUUGGGCGUAAAGCGUCUGUAGGUGGCUUCAAAAGUCUCCUGUCAAAGAUCAGGGCUUAACCCUGGGCCGGCAGGAGAAACUCUGAGGCUAGAGUUUGGUAGGGGCAGAGGGAAUUCCCGGUGGAGCGGUGAAAUGCGUAGAGAUCGGGAGGAACACCAAAGGCGAAAGCACUCUGCUGGGCCACAACUGACACUGAGAGACGAAAGCGAGGGGAGCAAAAGGGAUUAGAAACCCGAGUAGUCC